CGAAUCAACGCUGGCGGCGUGCCUAAUACAUGCAAGUCGAACGCGAAAGUCCCGCAAGGGAUGAGUAGAGUGGCAAACGGGUGAGUAACGCGUGGGUGACCUGCCUUCGAGUGGGGGAUAACGUUUCGAAAGGAACGCUAAUACCGCAUGACAUCCUGCCUUUUAACAGGCGAGAUCAAAGCCGGGGAUCGCAAGACCUGGCGCUUGAAGAGGGCCCGCGUCCGAUUAGCUAGUUGGUGGGGUAAUGGCUCACCAAGGCAACGAUC
RNAcentral lists this ribosomal RNA (266 nucleotides) under uncultured soil bacterium. RNAcentral describes it as "partial 16S ribosomal RNA". It matches the Rfam family "Bacterial small subunit ribosomal RNA", at positions 27 to 281 of the family's 1533-position model. The record is from RNAcentral.